Molecule: ribosomal RNA, 497 nt
Filed under: uncultured bacterium
Lineage: Bacteria
Description: partial 16S ribosomal RNA
Rfam family: Bacterial small subunit ribosomal RNA
Source: RNAcentral
GAUGAACGCUGGCGGCGUGCCUAAUACAUGCAAGUCGAGCGAACAGACGAGGAGCUUGCUCCUAUGACGGUAGCGGGGGACGGGUGAGUAACAUGGGGAUAAAAUAACUAUAAGACUGGGAUAACUUCGGGAGACCGGAGCUACUACCGGAUAAUAUAUUGAACCGCAUGGGGCAAGAGUGAAAUAAGGUUUUGCGGUCACUUAUAGAUGGAUCCGCGCUGCAUUAGCUAGUGGGUAAGGUAACUGCUUACCAAGGCAACGAUGCGUAGACGACCCGAGAGCGUGGUCGCCCAGACUGGAUCUGAGACUGGUCCCAGACACCUACGGGAGGCAACAGUACAGAAUCUUACGCAAUGGGCCAAUGCCUGACGGAGCACCGCCGCGUGAGUGAUGAAGGUCUUCGGCUCGUAAAGCUCUGUUGUCCGUAGAGUACAAAUGUGCAAGUACCUAUGAUCAUAUUGACGGUACCUAGUCAGAAAGCCCCGGCUAACUACGUG